GACGAACCGUGCGAACGUUGUUCGGAAUCACUGGGCUUAAAGGGCGCGUAGGCGGUUUGUCGCGUCUGCUGUGAAAACUCGGGGCUUAACUCCGGGCCUGCAGUGGGUACGGGCAGACUAGAGUGCGGUAGGGGAGACUGGAAUUCCUGGUGUAGCGGUGAAAUGCGCAGAUAUCAGGAGGAACACCGGUGGCGAAGGCGGGUCUCUGGGCCGUAACUGACGCUGAGGAGCGAAAGCGUGGGGAGCGAACAGG
Molecule: ribosomal RNA, 253 nt
Filed under: uncultured bacterium
Lineage: Bacteria
Description: partial 16S ribosomal RNA
Rfam family: Bacterial small subunit ribosomal RNA
Source: RNAcentral